UACGAAGGGGGCUAGCGUUGCUCGGAAUCACUGGGCGUAAAGCGCACGUAGGCGGACUCUUAAGUCGGUGGUGAAAUCCUGGAGCUCAACUCCAGAACUGCCUUCGAUACUGAGAGUCUCGAGUCCGAGAGAGGUGAGUGGAACUGCGAGUGUAGAGGUGAAAUUCGUAGAUAUUCGCAAGAACACCAGUGGCGAAGGCGGCUCACUGGCUCGGUACUGACGCUGAGGUACGAAAGCGUGGGGAGCAAACAGG
This 253-nucleotide ribosomal RNA is filed under the name uncultured bacterium. RNAcentral describes it as "partial 16S ribosomal RNA". It matches the Rfam family "Bacterial small subunit ribosomal RNA", at positions 524 to 776 of the family's 1533-position model. The record is from RNAcentral.